This is a small nucleolar RNA of Prunus persica (peach), 107 nucleotides long. It matches the Rfam family "Plant small nucleolar RNA R71". Rfam says of the family: R71 is a member of the C/D box family of snoRNAs containing the C (UGAUGA) and D (CUGA) box motifs. Multiple nearly identical copies of this snoRNA have been identified in Arabidopsis, and it is thought to function as a 2'-O-ribose methylation guide for 18S ribosomal RNA. The record is from Rfam. Lineage: Eukaryota; Viridiplantae; Streptophyta; Magnoliopsida; Rosales; Rosaceae.
AAACCAUGGUGAGGGCACUGUAUUAAAAAAUUAUUGAACCUUUCCCAAGCUUCUGAAAAUGACUCAUCGGUCUGUUGACUGAAUUGCAUGAUUUUAUCCCUCAGUGC